RNAcentral lists this long non-coding RNA (15983 nucleotides) under Brassica napus (rape). RNAcentral describes it as "long non-coding RNA (BNAP_LNC000146)". Lineage: Eukaryota; Viridiplantae; Streptophyta; Magnoliopsida; Brassicales; Brassicaceae. The record is from RNAcentral.
CACAAACAAAUCGAUCCCGUUGUAGAAACCCUUGAGCUCAUUUGGGUUCAGAGAUCCCAAAAUAGUAACUUUCUCGCCAAGUUCCUUGUAACGGUUCUCCCAUGGUCCUGACCCAGCUACCACAAGGUGAACAUUUGAAUGUGUUUCGAUUAGUUUUGCGAAGGCUUCGUAGAGAAUCGGAUGUCCCUUGUCUUUCACCAAUCUCCCUGCAGCUCCUAAGACAAUAGCCGAUGAGUUUUCUUGUAACCCUAGUUUUGACCUAAACAGAGAACGUAGCUUCUUGUCUGAUUUGAACCCAUUUUCGUCGACUCCGUUGAGGAUCACAUGAACCCUUUUCUCCGGGAUUUGGUAAACGUCUCUCAGCAUUUCCCCGCAGCUGUCGCUGAUUGCGAUGUGAUGAGCGUAGUUGUGGAAGAAUCUGAUUUCAUCUAGUAUCUUGGGAAGCACGGCACCGUAUAGGCUUGCGUUGAAGCCUUGUGAUCUUGGUUCGCCUGGUUUACGGAUCAGGUCUUGGUAAAUGCUUGACUGUAAGCUCUCUAGUGCAAUGCCGUGCCACGAGACGGCUAGGUUUGGAACCUCUCUGGCGAUCCAGUGCGGUAGAGCCACACUUUCCGUGUGAACCACGUCAAAUGGUUCCUUUUUGUUUUCUUCUUGGUAAAGCUCCCAUGCUUUGUUGUAUCGCCAUUUUCCUGGCUCAGCAUCGCCGUGGGAAUGGAUUGUAGGGUUUAUGGUUUUGUCUGAAGCGGAAGUGAUUUUGUUGGUUUGAGGGGAAGAGUCUAAGGGAGAGGUGAAAACGUGGACGUGGUGUCCACGGCGGGCUAAAGCAGUGUAGAGAGUGAAGGCAUGGCGUUCCAUGCCGCCAGGGUUGGGUCCAGUGGGCCAUUUCCUGGAGAAAACUGCGAGUCUUAGGGUUUUAGGAGGAGGGUUGGUUAAGGAGAAAGAAAGGCGGUUCCAUGCAAAUUGGGCUGCUUGGAGAUCGCCAGACCACGGUGGCUGGUUUGUGUCAGAGGAGGGGGAGACUGCGGCGGUUGUGGAAGAGCAAGAAGAGGAGGUGCGGAGGAGGAAGAGGGCCGGGAUGGUAAAGAGGACGGUGAAGAAGAGGAAAGUGCAAAGGCUGAAAUGAGAAUUAGGUUUCUUGAGUUUGGUUUGUGAAGCCAUUGUUUGAUCUGGACAAUCUGAUGUUGUGUCUGCUUGUUCAACUAGAUGACAGAUAAAAGGAAAAUUGUGAUUUCUCAUCUCUGAGAAAUUAAUGAUAAACUUACAAUAUAAGUAAAUGAUAAAGUGGAGAUGGUCCAUUAAAGUUAACUUCAAUUUUAAUAAGAUUUUCUUUUAGUGGUUUGGUAACGUCUAAAUAUGACCAAGAAAGAAACGUGAGGCUGAGGCUUCAAUCACUUCUGCGAGAUCACUUUAGUUGUACAUAUGGGAAAUGUUCAUGUGACUUGUUGCGUGACUUUUUUACACAUAAAUAAUGUGAACACUCGUAAAUAUCAUGCAAAUAUUAAAAAUAAUAACGGUAUGGUAUAUUGAGGAACUAAACAUCUACAGUAUAUUAUAUUAUAGGUCAAUGGUCUAAAAACAUUGGUAAGGUCCGAAGCAAAACUAUUUAGUUAGUGUGUUUGGCCUCCACUUUUUGACUUUAUGAUUGUGAUAUAUCAUUUUUCUAAUGCGGAUUUGUUGGUAUUUUACAACUCAAGCAUUUGACUUUCUUAACUUUUUAGACUAUACAUUUCGUUGUAUAGUAUCAAACAUGCAUAAAUUUAAUGCAUAUGCGGUGGCAAAUGAUCUGGUAAUGCCUUUGUAUUGGAUUAUUAAUUAUUUAACAUGCAAGAGUUAUUUCUGUAAUAAGUUUACAUUGGAACUUUACUUCAAGGCUCAAUGAAUCUUAUCACAAGUCAAACUUUAGCUUUUACAUUUUCAAGAAUACUUCCUACGAAAAAAACUGAUUUUGAUAUUGUUGUACUGAUGAAACUCUUUUUGGAGAAACCUAACUUGCACUACAGAGAUUCAGUUCCCCAUUCUUGACAAUUGCUUAAGAAGUUAAGAUCAGCCACUUGAAACUACAAAAUUAUAUACAGUCUCUGUAGUAGUUCACGGAGCUAAGAUAGAUUUGUAACAUGAUUCCGUCUGAAUCUAACCCUUGUAUGAAAUCAACUUUCUAUAAUUAGCUAUUUCCAGAGAUUAGACUUGUGCAGGCUCCAUGUAACAAAGAAGAGAACACUCCUAAUCAGCAAAAGAGAUUUCUUCGUUUGUUCUUUUCCCGUUCAGUAGCUCUUCUUCUUGUGGACAGAAACAGCCUCUUUUGGACACAACAGCUUCAUCCAUAUCGUUUCAUUUAGAUCUCUUGAGGAAAAAUCAAAUACACUUUGUUUUCUUCUCAUCAGGUUUCCUUUAAAUACAUAUGAGCAAUACGACAUCGUAACACAAGACUCGAUUAUUAGAAAGCAGACUAAAGAUAACGAAACUCUCUUUCUCACUGAGAGUCCCCCACACUCGUUCAUUCUCCACUUCGCUCGCCCACCUCGCCCAGUGCGCUUGUUCUCUUCUUGAUCGUCCUUGCCAGCAUACGAAAGCCAAAGGCACUGCUAACCUAUUAGAAUGGCGCGUGUCUGCCCCUCGGAAACUGAUAAACACGUCUUAUUUCCCGCCGGGAAGGAUCCACGGAGAGCAAAAGUAUCUCUAUGGUUAGAAACUGAAGGAUAAGGUUUUGGAAUCAGUGGGUGAAACAGUAACUCUUUUGACUAUGAACAGUAACUCUUCACAGUGGGUAAUAUACACUAUGAAUCGCACUCAACUUGCUCCCACUUGAAAUUCGAAAACGCAGAAACGAUUCUCCGUCACAGAAAUGGACAGACUCCGCGCUCUCCGCCGUCAGGGAUUGCGCGAUUUCGAGCCGUCACUCCCGCCGCGAUUUAUGGAUAGAAUCCUCGACCGUAUGAAGAAAUCUUCGAGUCGGAGGGGGAUAAGCCGCCGCCGGCUAGAACGGUGUUCUAGCUCCUUAGCUGAAGAUCUAUCAGUCUCGACUUCUUCUUUCACGACGCGCUCUCUGGAGUUACCCGAUAGGACUAGUUUCCGUCUCUUAGCAGGAGGCGGCGAUGGCGAAUUGGAUCGGAUUUACAAGUCCCUUGGCGUUUCUGGUCCCGACGAUUUGGCGAUUUCUUUUGACGCGUGGGAGGCUUGCAAGACGCGUUCCUCCUCUGGUAUUGUUAAUAGGUUUCAGCCUCAGGCCGAUGUUUUGAGUAGUGGUGUUGAUUCACUGGAUCGGGACGAUACUGGUGGUGUGGGCAGGUUCUUCAAGGAGCAUGCGAGUGAAAAAGCUAGUGAGAAAGAGCAUGGCGAGAUGAAUCUCAAGGAAGUUGAAACUCCUUUCCAGCCAAAACUAUCUGAGCAUUGCGUUACGGGGUCUGACCCUAUAUUAGUUAUUUAUUGUGGUGACAACCAGGUCUCCGAGGAGAUAUACCUCAUCAGCUACAUCUUCAACGAGUUGUGUGCCCGUGGCUUUGCCCCUUUGAGAUAUGAUAUGAAAAAGAGCACUGUGACUGAAAAUCAGAAACUGCUACACAUAUCACGGGUUGGUAUUAUCAUUUUCUCGAUGAACUUUGCUCAUUCCAGAGAGUGUCUGGAUGGAUUCGUGGCAGUCAUGGAUCAUUUGAAAGCUAACGAGCUUGUGCUUAUUCCUGUGUUUUUUAAAGUAAGUGUUUCAGACGUCAGGGGCCAAAGUGGCUCUUUUGGAAAAGCAUUCACACGACUUGGGGAUUCAGUCAUGGCCUCCCAAGUUCUGAAAUGGAGGGCGGCUAUGAUCAAAUUAGCUUCCAUCAUUGGAUAUGCGUAUAAGAAGGGGUAUAUUGCUUUCUCUUUUUUUUUUGCAAUAUUUUUUAUAUUUGUAUGGUGUGGUAUAUGACUCUGAUUCUGAUGUUUUCUCUGUGCAGGGAUGAGGUUAUUCUGGCCAAGAAUAUUGUCAGAGAUGUCUGUUUGCCGCUCAGUUCCGAAACCAACAUGAAGCUAAGAGGAACGAGGCUUUCAUUAAAAAGUAUAUUGUCUCUGCUGAAUCGUUCUCAACCCUCAUCUUCACAGAUUGUUGGACUUUGGGGUAUGGCUGGCAUAGGGAAGACUACCAUCACGAGAGACUUUUUCAGAUCACAAGCUGAGCAAUAUGACGUGUGCUACUUUCUGCCUGACUUUCAUCUAUUGUGUCAAACAAAAGGGCUGAGUUAUUUGCGUGAUGAUUUCUUCUCGAAAAUAUUUGGCGCAGAGAAAGUUUUCGUAGACGCAUGUGAUACAAAACCAAGCGUCACAAGGGAUAGGUUCCUCGGUAAAAAGGUUCUGAUUGUUCUUGAUGGUGUGAGUAGUGCCAAAGAUGCAGAAGUUUUGGUUGGAGGGUUUGGCUGGUUUUCUGGUGGACAUACAAUCAUCUUAACAUCUAGGAAUAGGCAAGUUCUUGUACAGUGUAACGCCAAAGUGAUUUACGAGAUCGAGAAGCUACCCAAGCUUGAGUCUCUUCACCUUUGUUGCAAGUUUGCCAGUAAAGAAAAUUGUAAAGGAAGAAUGUCGUUGACAUCGGAGCUUGUGGACUACGCUAGUGGCAAUCCUUUGGCUCUGCGAGUCUUAGGUUUGUCUAUUCAAAAUCAAUCUAUGAAAGAUCAGAAACAACAUCUGAGAAGACUGCGUCAACAUCCUCCAGUCAAAAUUCUGAAUGCAUUUAAAAUAAGUUUUAAUGGACGAGAUGAUGACGAGAAGAGCAUAUUUUUGGACCUGGCUUGUUUUUUCAGAGGGGAGGAUAGAGAUCGUGUGGUGAAAAUCCUUGAUGGUUGCGGUUUUUCUACAGAUUUAGGAAUCUAUGGUCUCAUUGAUGAGUCUCUCAUCAGCCUUUUAGAUAACAAGAUAGAAAUGCCCAACAUUUUCCAAGACGCGGGUCGAUUUGUUGUUUGUCAAGAACACGAAGAGCCAGGCAACCGUAGCAGAUUGUGGGAUUCUAGUGACAUUGCUGGUGUCCUGAAAAAUAAUACAGUAAGUCUUUGAAAAUGUGUAAUGAUAUUCUAUUUAAACUUAAGAUUGAGGUUCCUUUCUUCUCUCAGAAAAAAACUGUUUGCCAUUUUUUUCAGGGAACAGAAGCAACUGAGGGAAUAUUUCUGGAUGCAUCUGGCUUGACAUUUGAUUUGAGCUCUACUGCAUUUGAGAGGAUGUAUAGACUUAGAUUGCUCAAGAUCCACUGUCCAACUUCUGUAAAUCAUUGCAAGGUUUGUCUACCUGAAGGCCUCCACUCUUUGCCUGAUGAGCUACGCCUACUCCACUGGGAAAAAUAUCCUCUUGGAUCGUUACCUCGGAACUUCAACCCUAAAAAUCUUGUAGAACUGAACAUGCCAUAUAGCAACUUGACAAAAGUAUGGAAAGGAACAAAGGUAUGUCUUGACAUUAUGGUACAAUCUGCUGCAUACAUGAAGUAGUUAGCAUUUACUUGAUGACUCAUCUUGUUUUUUUUGUGCUGUAAUCAGAAUCUUGAGAAGCUAAAGAGGAUCAUUCUGAGUCACUCUCAACAGUUGACUAAAUUCCCAAGGCUUUCAAAGGCCAGGAACCUUGAGCAUAUUGAUCUCGAAGGAUGUACGAGUCUGGUUAAGGUUAACUCAUCUAUUCUUCAUCAUCACAAGCUUACUUUCUUGAGUCUGAGAAACUGUUCUCGUUUGCGAGUUAUGCCUACCACGGUUCAUCUAAAAUCUCUUGAGGUUCUUAAUCUAUCUGGCUGCUCAGAGCUCGAGAACCUUCAGGAUUUCUCAUUAAACCUGAAAGAAAUAUAUCUAGCUGGGGCUGCUAUUAGAGAAAUUCCGUCGUCGAUUGGGGAUCUCACUAGACUUGUUACAUUAGAUCUGGAGAACUGUGAAAGUCUCCAGCACCUGCCACCGGGGAUAAGUAACUUGAAAGCCAUGAUGACACUUAAGCUGUCUGGCUGUUCAAAUCUGAAGAGCCUUCCAGUUCUUGAUGCAUUAUUUCUCCAAGAUUCACAACGUUCUAACACAAGGAUAACCAUGGAAGAAUCUGUGUCCAUAAACCUUCACUCUGCUAUUCAAGAAUCAAGGUUAGAUGGCUCUAAAACCCUUCUGAAGUUAGAUAAUUUGCAACUGAGAUCAGAUAUUCACGGUUCUUUUUUCAGCAGAGAAGCAUUCUUACCAGCAUUUGAAUAUCUAUCAAACAACGGAAUACCACAAGAAAGCUGGACACGGGUCACUGUUAUUCCGUUCCCCUCACCCAUUUUACACUCAUUGGCGUCUAGGCUAUAUGCGCUAGUAUCGUUGUUCCUUUGUAAUGCUUACCUGGUGGAUAUACCUGAAGAUAUAUGUUGGCUUGCUUCGGUGAUGAGACUAGAUCUUGGUGGAAACUCUUUCAGCCAGAUUCCUAAAAGCAUCAAGGAGUUUCGUAACCUACAUAGCCUUAAUUUGCGCCAUUGCAAAAACCUCAAAUCGCUACCUGAGCUUCCUAGAAGUCUAGUAACCUUGAACGCCCAUGGCUGUGUGUCUCUCAAAUCAUUUCCAACGAGUUUCGAGCAGUUCCCAAGGCACUUCACAUUCAGUAAUUGCUUUAAUCUGUCCCCAAAAGUGGUUAGAGAAUAUAUAGGAAAAGCUCUUGAUAGCGUUAAAGGCAUGGCCAAGGGGAUUCUGCAGGUAUCCUCUCUAUUUCAGUUUCUAUCUGUCUCUGCCUCUCUUUUUUCGUCUAUAUUUCCCUCACAUACGUUUUUAGACUCACAUUUCGCAUAUACAUAUGAUAUUUUUAGGCUUCACUGGAACAGGAACACAUCAACGAUCCUGCAUUCAACAUCUGUAUACCUGCCUCUGCAGGCCAGCAAUCCUCGGUUAAUUUUCAAGCUGGUUCUUCUGUAAGGAUACAGCUAGCUCCUGGCAUGUUAAAGACUCUCUCAGGCUUUGUUUUAUCAGUAGUAGUUGAAUUUUGGGAUAAUUAUAGCAACACUGCUGGUUUUGGCAUCAAGUGUAUAUGCAGGAAGAGCAGAAUAGACCUCUCGCCUAGAUUAGAGAGAAUUUUCCAUUGUUGGGCUCCAAAGGAACCUAUCACCGUUCAACGGGAUCAUAUGUUUGUUUUUGGGAGUGUGAAAAUGCAUCAUGCAGAAGCUGUUAACCAUGAUUUCCUGUCUGAUUCAGUGACCUUUGAGUUCCAUCCUGUCAAUUCGGAGAACCAGCUCGUAGAUGAUAGCUGCACAGUGAAGAGAUGUGGAGUGUAUUUAAUCACCGAUGCGACAAGUAAUACGGCUCUAAGCGCAAAACGCCCUUCUUCUUCCAUGGAUCCAGGGGGGCUUUCUAGCAUGGAGCAUGUGGCACCGCCAUAUAAGAAAUGUCGAUUGAAGGGAGUUAUUGAAAUUGUUAUUCUAAGCUUAAGAAAAAGGAAGCGAGAACUGAGCGUCCCUACAGUCAAAAACGUUUCUACGGUAAAAUCCCUGUCCCUGAGAGUUCAUUGAGCCCUAUGGCCUCAUAUGGUGCCCCGUAAAGCUAGUAGUUGCAGUCUUGCAGACAUUGAUUUUUCCUUCCAUCAACCUCAUCAUACACUGAAACUGGUCCAAGGAACUUGAACCUGAUGUCUGUUUACGUAUUUUGGUGAUCUAUUUCCUUAUUCAAAUCCUUUCCAUCUAUUUUUCACAGGUAAGACGUCUGUGCAGAUCGUAUGUUCGCACUGGAAGCUGUGCAGUGGGUCCUAGUUGUUCUUUUGAUCAUCCGAACUGGGUGUUAACACACAAGACCGCAUCUUCCAUUCCUUCCGAGAGUCCACCCAUGGAUAUGCUAGGACUUUCUUCAUAUGGUAAGCCAUCAGAUAAGCGCGUGGAAACAUCAACUGAGAAACCCAAAAGACUCUCUGUGUCUGAGUCAAGACAAGCAACCUCUGGUAUAGACACCAUUGAUGCAGAGCAGGAAGAAGAGUAAGCUUUGUCUCAAAAAGAGUGUUAAGCUUUGAUGAUUGGUUAUGGAGAAUCAGAGUAAGUCAUUUUCAUUUAUGUCAACUCUCGAGCAUUAUUUUUAUUGCAGAGGUAAAUUAAUCUUACGCGAGGUUUUUGUAUUUAUACUGUCGAUAGGUAUAGGCGAAAUGUGAUAGCGCGCACUUAGUGCAAAACGGCAAGCUUCUUGCAUGGAUCCAGUGGAGCAUAUGGAAUCACCAUAUAAGAGAUGCCGAUUAAUGAGUGUUACUGGAACUGUCUUAAGAAAAGGAAACGAGAACAGAGUGUCUCUGGAGACAAACCGUUAUAAGUUAAAAUCUGAGUCUUCCAUUGACUUACAUAUAAGUAGGUAGCUUUCUGAUGCAAUUUUGAAGACGCUCAAAUUGAUUUAAUGCUGAUUUGUAUUACGUAUGGCUUCCGGCCCUUCGAUAACUGUUUUCACCAUUUGCUUCUUCCUCGAUUAACUGAUGGUUUUACGAAUAUGAAUGAUGAUUCCAUUUCCAGGCUAGCUUAAUUUUUGCAGGUUCAUCUUGGUCCAGUUUCUGCUCGCUUCGAACAUGAUCAUAACUACAGAAAUCUUGAGCAGAAUGAGGAAAAAGAGUUAGGCUGUCACAAGGUUUUAAGGACUGAGACCGAGUCCAACUCUUACCUAAAAGACUCACAGACCUCUAUCCGUAAACCUACUCUCAGUCAGCUGCUCGGGUUCAACAGGUUUCCAAGGCUCGAUCUUUUGAGAAGAUAGGGAACAAAAGAGUUUGGAGAUAGCGAUGGAUCCAAACCAAGACGCCCGGGCUUAUAUAGUCCAUGAAACAAAGACGGGUCUUAUACUCAUUAAGUCAUAGCAAAUGUGUAAGAUUUGAUGAUUGGUAAUGAAGAACCAGUAUUUAUACUAUUGAGAUUUACAAAACAGAAAUAGUUGACAGAUGUUCUAGGAAAAUUAUAUUUUGUCAUUAAAAUGAAACAAAUUCCAAAUAUCUAAGCAAAUAAUCGGAUCGUAUUAUGACAAUUAAUAACAUUUCUUUUUAAUAGAUGACGUGGAUAUCCGAUCCGCCGUAGAUUAAAUCUUCGCAGUGAACCCGCACUGCUCACCACCACCACCCCUCGGACCAUCAUCACACCGCGUCUCGACCCAGAGGGCUUCCUCAGUCCUCCACAACUCUCCCUUGCGUUCUUACUUCUCUCUCCAGAUCCAAACUCUCACCAUUCUCAUCACAAAGAGAACUACAAUCUCGAUUCACUCUCUCCCAAAUCUCUAAUCCGAUUUCGAGAUUCAAUCCUCCCCCAGAUCACCUUUUGUUUCGGUUCAUGAUUCUGAUUCCGUGAGAGACCUUAUGGAUUCGCAUCCUUCCUUAAUCGGAAGGUCCAUCGGCAACAGCAACCGAUCCAGCGUAGAUCUCGGCCGUUCAACGCCUUCCUCUCCUUCCCCUUCAUCGCUAACCAAAUCGAUCUCCGAUGCAAGUAGCCAGAGCCUCUCUUCGAUCCUCAACAACCCGCACGGAGGCAAAUCCGGCGUCUACGGCUCCGACGCCUCCUGGGUUGGUUGGUGGUCAUCCUCAACCUCCGUAGCUCCCUCCGAGUUCGCGCCCGUCGCUUCGACCAAGCUCCCCGGGUCGGACCUCACCAGAUCCGACUUCCACGGCUACGUUUCCUCGAUCUCCGACUCUCACGCUAGGUUCGAGGAUAUCAGGAACCACGCCAAGGAAGAGAGCUCCGGGUUCGAUCAGGAGAGCCACGUGUCCGGUUUGGCUUCGUGUCUCCGCGAGGUUCCUUCGCUCUACUUCAAGGAGGAUUUCGCGUUGGAGGACGGAGCUACAUUUCGCUCCGCGUGUCCUUUCUCGACGUUGACGGAGAAUCUAGCGCUUCAGGAGAAGCUGUCGCAGUAUCUCGAUGUGGUGGAGAUGCAUCUUGUGAAGGAGAUCUCGGUGAGGUCUGAUUCGUUCUUCGAGGCGCAGGGGCAGUUGCAGGAUUUGAAUGUGAAGAUUGUUGAGGGGUGUAGUAGGAUCCGUGAGUUGAAAGAGACUAUUAGGCUUCUUGAUAGGAACUUGGUGGAUUCUGCUAGGCAGAUUCAGGAGCUGAGCUCGACUAGGAUUAAUAUGUUGGAGCUGCAGCGUAAAUUGAGGGUCAUUUUGUAUGUUAACCAAGCUCUCUCUGCACUCAAAUUGGUAAUUGUUCUUAGACUGAUUCGCUUUGAGUAGUGUCAAGUUAGCUACUUUUGAGUGUUUCCACUGUUUUCCUGAUAGAAGUUUGAUUCUUUAUUGUUCAGCUUGUUGCGUCCGCAGAUUGUGCUGGAGCGUUGGAUAUAACUGACGAUCUCCAGAACUUGUUGGUAAGUAAUCUGUGACUGAUGUGGGGGGUACUGUUAGAUGGUUAGAUUGAUCUUUCGUAAGAAGCUAAAAUUGUUUUAUCUCCUUAUCAGGCCGGGGAUGAGCUAACUGGUCUACAUUGCUUCCGUCACCUUCGAGAUCAUGUCACUACUUCCAUAGAGUCUAUAAACAGGUGCGAAUAUGAUAACUGACUAAAAUAGGCUGUGUUCAGUUUGACUGUACUGCUCUUUUAGGAGAAGCGUUUAAAUUGUUUGAGCUUUUGUUUUAACGGCAGUAAUUAGUAAAGUGUUUCUUAAAUUUGUGGAUAGAAUGGAACACAAUUGGACCCAGUGGGAUUUCAUGUCAAUUGUGCCAAGUACCAAACCAGCCAACUAAUUCUGAUCUAGUGAUUAUGUUUUUAGUUCUGUUGUUGAGCCUCUUGGAUUUUCUCUGAUAACGAAGGCAGUUGAUAUUUUGAAAAAUGCUUACAGGGUGUUGCAGCUAUGUUUUUUCCUUCUGUGACAUUCUUUGGCAGCUAUGGUUUAUUCAUAGCAAAUAGUAUCUCUGUAAUCUGCAAAGGUCACUGUUUCUUACUGUAUAUCAAUCGUUUCAUGCGGCAGACAUUUUCUCCGUCUGAUGAUUAGGAAUAUACCCAGGCUCGUAGGCAUUUGCGUCAAUUAAAUGUUUAGUAUAUUGAUUUUCUUUAGCAGUGCUGUUUCGUGAAAUUUCAGUAGUUCACUGUUUUAGUUCACCUUCUAUAUUUACCUAUCCUGUUUCUCUAUUACUCUCUUUAAUUUGUUUAUUUGGUCUAAUGUCUGAUAGCUUGUUGAUUUUUUCUUUGUAGUAUUCUCACAGCUGAAUUUAUGCGUAUCUCAAUACACAAUACUGGGGAAAUAGAUGUACUGAUUUUAUCUGCUGCAAAAAAACGUGGAUCCAUAUCUUCUAACUGGGAGACGGGUGAAGUAAGUCUCAUCCGAUACAGAUGCAUAUUUUUGAUGAAUUUGGGCGCUUUUUGUACCAUGUGGAGCUUAAAACUGAAUAAAUCUUUACCUGUGAGAAGCGGUAGAUUAAUCAGAAAAUAAGUGGAAGAAUAUCCAGCAUGACUCGUAAUAAUAAUCUUCCACCUUUGCAGGUUAAGAUAGAAGAAGAAGAUACGUCUACCUUAUGUGAUCGGCUUCUUCCUCUAGUAAUUGGAUUGCUAAGAACGGUGAGUGGCCGUUCCUUUAUUUUUUUCAACACAUGCUAGCACUGAGGUUCACAAUGGUUUUUUGUUUUAAUAUCUUCGUUAGUGCUAUCUCUGGUCAUUAUUGUUUGAUUCGUAUUAAUUGUUUAGUCUGAAUUAUGUUUCUCAUUUGUUUUUCUUUGAACUGUUUAUUGUAGGCAAAGUUCCCAUCAAUUUUGAGGAUGUAUCGUGAGGCACUGACAUCUGAAAUGAAAAACGCAAUCAAGAACGCAGUUGCUGAGCUGCUUCCAGUUCUUGUUGCAAGAUCGCUCGAAUCUGAUUUUUCACAUGGGGAGCGCUCAGUAGAUGUUGAUGGUGAGAUUAUAAUUAUUAUUACUAUGUAUUAAGAUUGUCAUGUGACUUAGUUUAUGUCUGAUACAUAGUUGAACAUAAGUUUAGUACUUGAAAAUACUGUGUAUUUACAUGUGCUUGUUUUUUUUUGUCCUCUAACUUAGUAACUUGAUCUGAGACCCGGCAGGGACGUAGUAUACAUGGAAAUUAGUUAACUGAUGAAGAAUGUUGGCUGAAGAUUUAUUUUUAUCCUUCUCUUAGGAUAAUGUAUUUUAUUUCGCUGGUAGUUUGUCUCUCCGGAAUCCAUUCUUAUUCCUAGUGCGUAUACAGGUGGUGGAUUAUCUCUCGCGAGCAAGUUGAGGGCUCUGUCAUCUGAGGCAUUUGUUAAUCUCUUAACUGCUAUAUAUCGGAUUGUUCAGGUAAUAUAUGCAUCAAUUAUGAAUUUUUUUUUUAUUUAAACAAGCAUUAUAGAAGUACUACAUAUAUGUCUAUUUAUGUUACACCAUUGGCAGCAUCUUUAUUUUGAUUUUGAUACAUAUACCUUAUUGAGGCUUAAAACGUUUCACCCUCUUAAGCAAUUAGACGAUUGGUUAAGAUGUAACAUGAUUUCAUUUCAUUUAGUGAAUGCAGGCACAUCUUGUUCGGGCUUCAGAAGUGAAAAAGGCAAUUGAAUGGAUCCUCUGCAAUAUCGAUGGACAUUAUGCAGCUGAUUCCGUUGCAGCUGCAAUUGCUGUUGGUGCUGUAGCGGCCGAAUCAAUCCAGGAAACAGGUUUCCAAGGCGAGCUGUCUUCUCCAUUGGGUAAGGCUACCUUAAAGGCUUCUCCAUUGCAGAGAAAAACAAGCGACACAUCAAGCUUGAUAAAUAUGUCAAGAAACUUCAGGUUUUCUGGUUUAUUUGUUUAUUUAUUUAUUCCAAAUUGUCGCAGUUGCCUGUAACACAAACCUUUGUUAUUCUUGAAACUAAAGUAGGUUUUCUAUUUCUCUUAUUUAUAUAGAGCCGAUGUCUUGAGAGAAAACACAGAAGCUGUCUUUGCGGCCUGUGAGGUUACUCAUGCUAGAUGGGCAAAGCUACUAGGAGUCCGUGCUCUUCUUCAUCCAAAAUUGAAAUUGCAGGAGUUCAUGAGCAUUUAUGAUCUCACCCAAGAAUUUAUAACAGCUACAGAAAAGGUGUUUGUUCAAAACUUUUCUUUCAUAAAAGAGAUAAGAAAUUGCAUUGCUAUUCUUGCCUGACAUUCUUAUGGAAAUUAUCAGAUUGGCGGACGGUUGGGAUCUAGUAUUCGUGGGACGCUGCAAUCACAAGCCAAAGCCUUUGUAGAUUCCCAGCAUGAAGCUCGGGUUAGUCUAUGUAUAUAUAUACCUUUAGAAGUUUUACAGAAAGGACAUCUACAUCUUUGUUUACUUCCAUGGCUUACAAAAAAAAGUGGGAGAAAAUAGUUACACUAAGAGCAAUAUGCCCAAAGCCAUCUCUAUACUUUGUGCAGCAGAAAAGUUAAACUUACAUUUAAUAACAGAGUAGUGUUGAGCUAUAUUGACUUCAUCCCAUAGAUCCAUAGUCCGUAAUUAUUUUACCACCUAACUUCUUUCAUUAUCAAGUGUUCUGGUCGUUAUUCUAAGUUUUAUCUUACUUUGUUGUAGAUGACAAAACUGAAAGCUGUCCUUGAUCAAGAAACAUGGGAUGAGAUGGAUGUUCCCGAAGAAUUCCAAUCCAUAAUCAGUUCUCUUUUCGCAUCCCAGGAGUUGAUUUCAAGGAAAGUUGAUGAUGCUGAUACUAUAACAUACCACAGAAACCCGCUCACUCCCAAUGGGUCUCUCACUUCAGGAACUGAAGAUCAAAAUACUGAACUACGAAAUGAAAAUUCUGAAUCUAGUGAAGGUCCUGCUGUUAGUAAUGCACAAGUGAAAUCUACAGUUUCACCUGAAUCUCUUGAAAGAAGCAAGGCUGGUGUAUCUUCAGUUGCGAAAGCGCACGUAAAAUCUAACCUUUUCUAUCAAGGAGUUGGUUACCACAUGGUAAACUGGUUAGUUUUCCUGUUAUUCAGCGUUAUGUUACAUAUCCGUUUUCUCUAGUAAUUCGAAUGGCUGUUGAUCAAUGAAUAUUUCUCUCUAUAUAUAUUUGUACCGUCUGCUAGGUUUGAUUCCUUAAUGUUUAGGUUUAGCUGCUGUCCCGGCUGUUAAUUUUGCUUAUGCUGAUGCAAUUCCUUGAAUGUCUGCAGUGGGUUAAUAUUACUCAAGAUGUUGUCAGAAUACAUUGAUAUGAAUAAUUCUUUGCCAGCUUUGUCCUCGGAAGUUGUUCUUCGUGUUGUUGAAGUGCUGAGAUUUUUCAACACUAGGACAUGCCAACUUGUUCUGGGUGCUGGUGCUAUGCAGGUAAAAAUAUGCUUUAAAUGUAGAAAAUAGUAAUGGUAAUUGCUGAUUAGUUUUAUUGAGUUUUCUAACCAAUGAUCUGUGAUCUUUUGCGUAACCAAAUGUACACACCUGACCUAUUUGUCUUUCGCAAUUGAACUUUUUGACAUAAAUUUUGGUUCUUGUUUACGCAAAACAGAUGUGAUCUGUAAUAUUGACCGUUUGAGUGGGAAUUUUCAUGCUAUAGGUUUCUGGUUUAAAGUCCAUAAAGGCAAAACACUUGGCACUUGCAAGUCAAGUAAUCGACUUCACUUACACUAUUAUUCCUGGUAGGUGAUAUUUUGUCAUUUCUUUCUAAUUGUUGCAGUUAUAAUGUGUGUUUAGCGGAGUUAAUAAUGUAUCGUUCUUUUUCUGGUCCUAGAAUCCAGAAGAAUUAUGUUUUCAAAAGUACCCGAGACGAGAAAGCCACUCUUGUCAGUAGAGAUUGAUAGAGUCGCUCAUUUGGACCAAACAGUGUUGGAGUUAACCACAACAUCUUGAUCACAAACAUACCAAUAGGAUCGUUGAUCUAUGGAUUCUUGGCUGCAUUGGUCUAUGACUCACAUGGUUCGACUGUGAUCAAAUCGAUGAAAGACUCCGUCGUGUGUAUGGGACGGGGUUGCUAUUACUUGACCUUUGUGUGGUGGGGAUGCUUGUCGGUUCUUGGACUCGCUUCUAGUCUUGUGUUGUUUAUUAGGACUAGAAGAGCUUAUCAACGGUUUGAACAAGCUCGGAUAAAUUCAAAUAUUGAUUCAUAGAAAUUUACCUUCAUUCCCCAACGGCUUGUGUAUAUCACAGUAUAUGUAGGGAUCUAUAUUUAACAGACGUAUUAAUGGACUGUUAUGGAUUUUGGCUGAUAAUAUUUUGUUGUCGCUGAUUUAUUAUAGUCUCAAAUUCUGAUAAUUGUUAAAUUAUCCUAUCAUUUCUACAAUAAUAUUAUUUAUUUUGUGAGAAUUUACGUUUGACAGCCCUACUUGCAAUUAAAUCAAUUUAUGCUCUUUCUUUUAUGGUGGUGGAAACAUUCCUGACUGAUAAAUUUAUACCGUUUUUAAAAAUACAGUUUUUAAUCAAUAUAUAAAAUUUUAAAAAAUUAUUUUGCUCGAGAAAGCAAUGUAUUUGGAUGUGCAAUCUCGUGUAACCGUUAAUUCUGAAGUGAUUUUUUAGUACCCCGUCAAUUAUGAAAUGAUUACAUUACUGAAGACUCACCUUUUCAUUACAGAUAUAAAUAUAUAUAUAUAUUAAAAUGUUGAUAAAUCAAAGAUACUCGAGUAAUUAAAACUAUACUUACUAAUUUAGGGGUAGAUACAAAACCUCUGAUCCUUGAUACAAAGAAAAAGCCUCUCAUAAGCUAAAGCCAUCUUACUCGCCGUAAACAUCUCCGCCGCAUACUCUUUACACUUCCUCCCUCUCUCCGCCAAUCUCUCCGCUCCUUCCGCCACCGCAACUUCCAUAACCGCCGUCAAAGCCUCCACAUUCGGCGCAAACAUAAACCCAAACUCGUCGUUCACCACAAUACUCCUCUUUAUGCUUGCGUACCUCGACGCCAUCACCGGUUUACCACUCAACAUCGCUUCCAUCAAAGUCAAAUCAAGACCUUGUGGUCUAAGCGUUGGAUUCACAAACAAAUCGAUCCCGUUGUAGAAACCCUUGAGCUCAUUUGGGUUCAGAGAUCCCAAAAUAGUAACUUUCUCUCCAAGUUCCUUGUAACGGUUCUCCCAUGGUCCUGACCCAGCUACCACAAGGUGAACAUUUGAAUGCGUUUCGAUUAGUUUUGCGAAAGCUUCGUAGAGAAUCGGAUGUCCCUUGUCUUUCACCAAUCUCCCUGCGGCUCCUAAGACAAUAGCCGAUGAGUUUUCUU